CCUACGGGUGGCAGCAGUGAGGAAUAUUGGUCAAUGGGCGCGAGCCUGAACCAGCCAAGUGGCGUGAGGGAAGACGGCCCUACGGGUUGUAAACCUCUUUUGCCGGGGAGCAACGGGCGCCACGUGUGGCGCCACUGAGAGUACCCGGAGAAAAAGCAUCGGCUAACUCCGUGCCAGCAGCCGCGGUAAUACGGAGGCUGCGAGCGUUAUCCGGAUCAAUGGGGUUUAAAGGGUGCGUAGGCGGCGCGUUAAGUCAGUGGUCAAAUUGAGGGGCUCAACCCCUUCCCGCCAUUGAAACUGGCACUCUUGAGUGGAAGAGAGGUAGGCGGAAUGCGUGGUGUAGCGGUGAAAUGCAUAGAUAUCACGCAGAACCCCGAUUGCGAAGGCAGCAUGCCGGCUUCCUACUGACGCUGAGGCACGAAGGCGUGGGGAUCGAACAGGAUUAGAUACCCUUGUAGUC
RNAcentral lists this ribosomal RNA (460 nucleotides) under uncultured bacterium. Its description in RNAcentral is "partial 16S ribosomal RNA". It matches the Rfam family "Bacterial small subunit ribosomal RNA", at positions 338 to 795 of the family's 1533-position model. The record is from RNAcentral.